Anolis carolinensis (green anole) is the source of this 1822-nucleotide long non-coding RNA. RefSeq lists it as uncharacterized. The record is from RefSeq and is a predicted model, not a curated record. NCBI's taxonomy places the organism in Eukaryota, Metazoa, Chordata, Lepidosauria, Squamata, Anolidae. The transcript is spliced from 3 exons.
UUCAAACUACAGGAAAGGAGAUUCCACCUGAACAUCAGGAAGAACUUCCUCACUGUGAGGGCUGUUCGACAGUGGAACUCUCUCCCCCGGGCUGUGGUGGAGGCUCCUUCCUUGGAGGCUUUUAAGCAGAGGCUGGAUGGCCAUCUGUCGGGGGUGCUUUGAAUGCGAUUUCCUGCUUCUUGGCAGGGGGUUGGACUGGAUGGCCCAUGAGGUCUCUUCCAACUCUACUAUUCUAUGAUUCUAUGAUUCUAUGAUUAGGAUUCCCAGAAUCACUCAUUCACCCCCUAUUAACCCACCCCGACUAACCUAAACCCUUCCCUCCCCAUACCUUCCUUUAGCAAAACUAGAAUAUGUAAAUCUUUUAAAAUAUUCUUUAAUAAAAAUGAUUUUUUAAAAAAAUACCUACAUAUAAACGUCAGAUGCAAAUUCAUACAAUCGUGAGAAUGUCAACCAUACUUUGCUUACACUUAAUUUAAAAUUGCCCUAGUUGCACUUUCUGGUUUGUCUUUGUGUGUGCAAAUAGCAAGAAAAGGCCAACAUACCUGGGAACAAUCUGCUUAGAAAUGUCUCAUUCUUCAUCUCUAUGUCUUGCGGUUCCAAAUUAGGUGGCAACUGCAAAUAAUUUCUCCAAUAUUUCUGAUUCUGUCGGCACUUUCCUUCAUGGCUGCUUUAGUCAUUUCUCUUACCAGUUGUGUUCGUUCAAGCCAUUUCUAAAUUGUAGUGACCCUAAAACAAAUCUAUCAAAGGAUUUUUUUCCACAAAAUUAAUUAGCAGUUUAUUCUCGUAACUACAAGAAUAAUUGUAACUACAAGGAACAAUUUUGUUCCUACAAUUCUUAAACCAAACUCAGGUUUUUUUCCCUUUAAUGAAAAUUUCCAUUGAUUGUUGUAUGCAUUGCUGUGAUGUGUGCUGUUGCUGGCAUAGCAUGCGCAACUUGCCUGUUUUUGUUGUAAUUAAGCUGCUUCUUUUUUCUGCCUCAUCCCUCUUGAUUUUAAUUGUUUUAAUUUCAUUACAUUCCUUUUAUGUCAUUCUGUUCCCACACAGGCCUCCAAAGGGGAAAAAGAGCAACAAUAGAGUGGGCGCAGGAGAGAAAAACAACAGUACUCCUGCUACUCUUCCCUUAACCAAGUUCCCUUCUAUGAUACCACAUGAAACACCUAUGACAAGGUAUGAAAGGCAUAUAUACCGAAAUGCAGAAGCCAGCAUGGUCAUAACAAGCAGAGUUCUGGAGGAGCAUCUCUUGCACAUUCAUCCAGAAAACCCUCACAAGCUUCUUGCAAUACUUCAAAGUGUGGCAAAGCUCCAGUCGCUAUAGACUCAAGGAAGGUCAUCACACAACAGUCUGUGUCAUGCUCUGAAAGCUCUGAAAAAAAUCACACAGGUGUUAAAAUGACUUCUUCAAAAUUUCAUCCAGCACAACCGACAAUGACAGUUCAAAAUGUAAAGGUCUAAAGGAAAAUCUUGCAGAAAAAAUGAGGCAGCGAUGGGCAAACCUAUCAACUCUCAGAAGCUAAACUUUUCUCUUUUUUUCCAAAGCGUUCUCAUCUCAGCGAUCAGUGAUCUAUUGAAUUAAAUUCUUAACCAAUUAUUAGUAUCAUUUAAGCAAACAGACUGAGCAAAAGUAAUUUGGAAAGCUCUUUAUUAUUUGUAUUAUAUGAAAGUAUUGGAUUGUCUUUUUUAAAACUUCAUGUAAGACUUUACAGUUUCGUAAUAAAAAUUAUUAUUGUGUCCAUAUCCAGGUAAAGUAAUCAUAAAUGCUGUGUUUUUCAUUUUUUUUAAAUGCAGUGCCCAGAACUGAACACAGUAUUCCAUGUGUGAUCUG